GCCCCGCGGCGCGCGCCGGCUCCGCCAAGAGCGUGGGGUUGCCGUGGCAACCAGUGCGGACUGCCCUAGGGAUCCUCUGGAAUAGAAUUCCCCGGCCAGCUGCGCUCUGUCUUGGGUUCCCUAUCUGGAGUGACUUAGAGGAGAGAAGCAGUGUGGUGCAGUGGGCCAUCUGACUUCAUGGAUCAGACAAAGGGAAUCGUUGCCUUCUACAUCCAGAUGUUGGCCCCUAAACGGCACACCUCUGCAUGUUCAACAGCAGUGGCAGCAGCUUCAGCAAACAUCAGCAUCACAGUUGCCAUUCAGCAGAUUGGAAAUUACCAGAGUCAUAUCUAAUAACUGCAGUGAGAUAAACCAGCAUAUGACAAUAGACACCCAGGAAGUUGAGGCCAGAAGGAAUAAAAUGUUCCCUAGACACUUUAAUCCUGGUUGUGUUUUCUGCCUUGACAAAAUUGCUGAAAUGGAAGAAAUUGAAACUCAGAAUUCUGCACCCAGAGCUAUAUAGCUGGUAAAUGUCAGUGCCUGGAUUAAAAUAACUAAUCAUCAGGAUCAUGAUCAUUAAGAUUGAUGACAUUUAUGUGUACAUACUGAUGAUCACAACUGGGACGAUGACCUUCCAUAUGUUAUUUAUUCCAACAACAACUUCUUGAGUUAGUCACAUCAUGCCCAUUCUACAUAUGAAGAAAGUAAAUUUUGAAGGUUAAAGGGCUCCAUCAAAGUCGUAUGAUGGGCAUGCAGCAGCUCUGGAAUUUUAACUAGGAUAUGAAGGAUUAUUCUGCCCUCACCCAUUCUACCAAGCCUCUGAAAACAGAUUUCUCAUGUCCUGCCCUAUGCCUGCCUCAACUGAUAUGUUUCAAUCAAGCAUGUGAGAGGGUAAGUUCCAUUUCCCACUCUUGCCCCCAAGGGUCUGACUAAUGCUGCUCUCUUCAAAGAACUGCUAACAUCUCUAGUUUAAGCAAUGUGCAAAAUAACUGAUUCAAAUAAAAUCUCUUUCCCCGAG
Herpailurus yagouaroundi (jaguarundi) is the source of this 997-nucleotide long non-coding RNA. RefSeq lists it as uncharacterized. The transcript has 5 exons. The record is from RefSeq and is a predicted model, not a curated record. Lineage: Eukaryota; Metazoa; Chordata; Mammalia; Carnivora; Felidae.